AGUAACACGUGGCCAAACUACCCUGUGGAUGGGAACAAUCUCGGGAAACUGAGGCUAAUUCCCAAUAACGCUCCACCCCUGGAACGGGCGGAGCUGGAAACGCUACGGCGCCACAGGAUGUGGCUGCGGUCGAUUAGGUAGACGGUGGGGUAACGGCCCACCGUGCCAAUAAUCGGUACGGGUUGUGAGAGCAAGAGCCCGGAGACGGAAUCUGAGACAAGAUUCCGGGCCCUACGGGGCGCAGCAGGCGCGAAACCUUUACACUGUACGCAAGUGCGAUAAGGGGACUCCGAGUGUGAAGGCAUAGAGCCUUCACUUUUGUACACCGUAAGGUGGUGUACGAAUAAGGGCUGGGCAAGACCGGUGCCAGCCGCCGCGGUAAUACCGGCAGCCCGAGUGAUGGCCGAUAUUAUUGGGCCUAAAGCGUCCGUAGCUGGCCGGACAAGUCCGUUGGGAAAUCUGUUCGCUUAACGAGCAGGCGUCCAGCGGAAACUGUUCGGCUUGGGACCGGAAGACCUGAGGGGUACGUCCGGGGUAGGAGUGAAAUCCUGUAAUCCUGGACGGACCACCGGUGGCGAAAGCGCCUCAGGAGGACGGAUCCGACAGUGAGGGACGAAAGCUAGGGUCUCGAACCGGAUUAGAUACCCGGGUAGUCCUAGCUGUAAACGAUGCCCGCUAGGUGUGGCGCAGGCUACGAGCCUGCGCUGUGCCGUA
Molecule: ribosomal RNA, 714 nt
Filed under: Halobacterium sp.
Lineage: Archaea; Methanobacteriati; Methanobacteriota; Halobacteria; Halobacteriales; Halobacteriaceae
Description: bacterial SSU rRNA
Rfam family: Archaeal small subunit ribosomal RNA
Source: RNAcentral